GACUGUAUAUGUAAUUUUUGUAUAUGCACUUAAAAAACCAUAUUACGGGAAGCAAGUGAAAUGUUACACGAACCAAAUUUUAUGUUUGAAUCGAUUUAUUAGUUACAAUAAAAUUUGAUUGUUACGGUAACAAACUUGCCCAUCUCAUCGUAUCUUAAAUAAUUGUGUUUGUUGCGUGAACAAAAUCGUUCACUUGAAAAUCAUAGGUUGAAAAUAAGCGCGCAAUAUCGACAAUGACGCGGCGACCGCGGCGACGAAAGCAAAGGGCGCUCUGCCGAUCGUCUUCCGUUUGCCAGUCCGCGCUAGAGUCGCGACAAUGCGAAAGAGAGAGAGAGCGCUACACCAUCACAGCGUCAUUCGUUAUUCGAUCACGGUUCGCGGUGCUGAUACCACAGUUUCGGAAAGUCAAUUCGGAAUUCGUUGCGCAGUUUAGUGGACCCGGUUGCUAGGCGAUUCAUUGCAAGAAAAACGAACGAGAUACUUUAUAGUUGUAGAGAAAGAUUUUCUCAAGGCUUUUCUUGUGGCCGCAAAUGCGCGUGCUCGUGAUAACGUGCGAGAGGUGCGUGCUGGCAAUUAGCAAGCGAAGAAAAGGAAAUCGACUCGACAUCCGGAAAUCCCUCAGGAUACAUCGGCGUCUGCGCACGUUGGGCAAAAGACGGAUCUCUUCUGAUCUCAGCGAAGCAUCGAGACUCGUCCGCCAGCCAUUUCCGACAGCGGAGACAAGGACCUCUGUUUUCAAUAGUGUACUCUUACGGUUAUUGUAAAAUAUGCUAUGGCGGAUCAUGUUGUACGAGACGCAUUAGUUGCAUUGCGGUGCGAGAGCUUAAUUCCGCUCUUUGAAGAUUCCCGGAGAAAUUGAGAAUCUUAUUGAAGAACGGAGAAAUUUUUGUACACAUAAAGGAAUUAAACUUCAGCCAUUUGUACUUCUGGUUUCUGAUGAGAAUGACAUUACUUCAUAUGUCAUUAUGGAUGAUUUAAAGUACGAAAUUGCAACCGUGCGUAACGAAGUGGAUAUAUGCUUCAAGAGUUUUCAGGUUUUUAAUGCAAAGUAUCCAGUAGAAUGCGAAAAAAUAUGGUAUUUCUUACAAUGCGCCGUAUAUAGAUUUGAAACUGAGUUUGAUUGUAAAAAUCCAUCAGUUUUGACUAUUUUAAAUUCUAUAAAGACCAUCACACACAACAAAGACUAACAUCAUUAUGUUUUUUUCUUAAUUAAAAUUGAGAUUUAAAUCUCUGAUUAAGUUAUUACAUAAAUAGUUUUCUGACUGACAUUUUUUAUAAAAUAUUU
Molecule: long non-coding RNA, 1285 nt
Organism: Temnothorax curvispinosus
Lineage: Eukaryota; Metazoa; Arthropoda; Insecta; Hymenoptera; Formicidae
Exons: 3
Source: RefSeq, a predicted model, not a curated record